RNAcentral lists this transfer RNA (72 nucleotides) under Phrynosoma platyrhinos (Desert horned lizard). Its description in RNAcentral is "tRNA-OTHER". The record is from RNAcentral. Lineage: Eukaryota; Metazoa; Chordata; Lepidosauria; Squamata; Phrynosomatidae.
GCCAGUGUGAUGUAGUGGUUUGAGCAUUGGACUACGACUCUGGAGAUCAGGGAUCGAAUCCUGGCUCUGCCA